Molecule: long non-coding RNA, 1769 nt
Organism: Salvia miltiorrhiza (redroot sage)
Lineage: Eukaryota; Viridiplantae; Streptophyta; Magnoliopsida; Lamiales; Lamiaceae
Exons: 2
Source: RefSeq, a predicted model, not a curated record
AUACAUACAGGGCUGAGUAUAAAAUACUCAGUGGACACAAGCCAAAGAUACGUACAUGCAUACUAAAGCUGUAAAUUAUCAUGCCUUUUCUCAUGGCGUACAGAGGUUUUAGUAAAAAGUCUGCACCCACUAGUCAUUUAUUUGUUCUAAAGUUCGUCUGAUCAGACUAUGUUCUUUUGUGCUCUACCAUAUCUGCAAUAAUAACUGUGUGCCGAGAAGGUGGCCACCUUCUACGGUCACUGACCGGCCGAUAUGCUAAACCGGCUCACGGUCCUAGACCGGCCGAUACGCUAAAUCGGCUCACGAUCCUAGACCGGCUGAUACGCUAACCGGCUCACGGUCCUAGAUCAGCCGAUACGCUAACCGGCUCACGGUCCCUUGUGUACACUAAUCCUGUCUAACAUCUGGAUAGAACAUGACCCGAAUUCGAUUAACUGCUGGUGCCAGAUAGGUAUCAUACAUAAAUCUUAAAAUUGAUAGGCAAUGAUAAUAGUUCGCAAGAUUUUAUUCAACUGCAACAUAAUCUAAACUUUGAUUUUUAUAUAAGAAAGCCCAUCUGGUCGUGGUCUAAUGAUUCAGGUGAUUCUGAACUAUGGAUUCACCUUCCUUUGUAUAUGACCUUCAGUAUAAAUUAACUAACUAAGUAAAUAACGAGAAACUAAUAUGGAUUUACCUUAAAGAGUACGUAUGUGGGUCUUAAGGGAUAUUCUUUUUUAAAUAAGGACUGAAGACUAACUGCCAUUUGGCAACCUUAUCAACAAAUACCAACAUAGAUUCAAAUGUGGUACCCAUUCUAAUUAAUAAAUAAAUAUGAACUUAAAAUAGAUAUAAGUCCAAUUUACUUUUCUUUUCAGUACUUGAUUUCCCAAUAAUCUAGUGUCUAAUUAUGCAUAAAUACUUAGGAUAAUAAAUUAUUAAUAGCUACUUAAAAGAAUUCUAUAUGUUUGAACACUUUAAUUAACCAACUGAACAGUUAAUCUCAUUUACAUGAACUACUGGAUUUAACAUAAUAAUUUAGUAUAGUUAAGUAAAUUAUGGACCCAUUCAGUAAAUCAAUCCAUCACUUAACUAACUAAUAAGGCCAACAAUAAUCUAUUAUACUUAAGCUUAUUAGGAAAUGAAUGGGCUCAUGAGAAAUUGUUAGGUCCAAAUACUAAAUUAAGCCCAAUUGCCCAUUUUCUAUUUUAAUAAAUUAAAGUUAUGUUAAAAUCCAGAAUUUUCUUUUAAACUAAUUAUCUCUCCCCUUCUUUCAUUUUUUUGUUCUUACGCAGGUAUGCUUUCCCCCUCUCUCUCCCUACCGUCUCUCUCUCUUCCCUAUACUCCGGCUAGUGUCGCCGGCCCUCGCUGCCUCCGGCGCGGCGAGGCCGGCCUCUUCUCUUCCCCCUCCUUCUUUCCUCUUUUCCCUAUAACUAAAUCCCCAAAUCAUAAAAUCUAAUUCCUAGGGUUUCUACCUCCCUUAUUCCCCUCUGGAAUUAAUCUCACCGGCGAAGCCUGCCGCCACCGCCGUCGUCCUCGUCGCACCGCCGCCACCGCCGUCGUCCUCAGGAAUCGACCGGCGUCGUCGUUGCUUGAGACGUCUCCGGCGCAACAGUCCUUUAUCAGCUCAAGAUCCUAUUUUUAUGAUUGUUUUCCUUUUUAUUGCUUAUUGAGAAACAACUGUAUUCGUGAGAUUAGAAUUAGAGAUAUGUAACUAUUGUUCAUCUUUGCUGUCGAUUACUGUUUUAGCAAUGAGAUAAUUGUACUGAAUUAAAGAAAACUACCUUCUCUGA